RNAcentral lists this ribosomal RNA (159 nucleotides) under uncultured bacterium. Its description in RNAcentral is "partial 16S ribosomal RNA". It matches the Rfam family "Bacterial small subunit ribosomal RNA", at positions 355 to 509 of the family's 1533-position model. The record is from RNAcentral.
UGAGGAAUAUUGGUCAAUGGGCGGGGAGCCUGAACCAGCCAAGUCGCGUGAGGGAAGACGGUCCUACGGAUUGUAAACCUCUUUUGCCGGGGAGCAACGGGGUCCUUGCGAGGGCCUUAUGAGAGUACCCGGAGAAAAAGCAUCGGCUAACUCCGUGCC